RNAcentral lists this ribosomal RNA (673 nucleotides) under uncultured Ochrobactrum sp. Its description in RNAcentral is "bacterial SSU rRNA". It matches the Rfam family "Bacterial small subunit ribosomal RNA", at positions 54 to 780 of the family's 1533-position model. Lineage: Bacteria; Pseudomonadati; Pseudomonadota; Alphaproteobacteria; Hyphomicrobiales; Brucellaceae. The record is from RNAcentral.
CCUGCANGUCGNGCGCCCCGCAAGGGGAGCGGCAGACGGGUGAGUAACGCGUGGGAACGUACCUUUUGCUACGGAAUAACUCAGGGAAACUUGUGCUAAUACCGUAUGUGCCCUUCGGGGGAAAGAUUUAUCGGCAAAGGAUCGGCCCGCGUUGGAUUAGCUAGUUGGUGAGGUAAAGGCUCACCAAGGCGACGAUCCAUAGCUGGUCUGAGAGGAUGAUCAGCCACACUGGGACUGAGACACGGCCCAGACUCCUACGGGAGGCAGCGGUGGGGAAUAUUGGCCAAUGGGCGCAAGCCUGAUCCAGCCAUGCCGCGUGAGUGAUGAAGGCCCUAGGGUUGUAAAGCUCUUUCACCGGUGAAGAUAAUGACGGUAACCGGAGAAGAAGCCCCGGCUAACUUCGUGCCAGCAGCCGCGGUAAUACGAAGGGGGCUAGCGUUGUUCGGAUUUACUGGGCGUAAAGCGCACGUAGGCGGACUUUUAAGUCAGGAGUGAAAUCCCGGGGCUCAACCCCGGAACUGCCUUUGAUACUGGAAGUCUUGAGUAUGGUAGANGUGAGUGGAAUUCCGAGUGUANAGGUGAAAUUCGUANAUUUNCGGANGAGCCCAGUGGCGAAGGCGCUCACUGGACAUUACUGACNCUGANGUGCGAAGCGUGGGGAGCAACAGGAUUA